This 847-nucleotide ribosomal RNA is filed under the name uncultured Vibrio sp. Its description in RNAcentral is "bacterial SSU rRNA". It matches the Rfam family "Bacterial small subunit ribosomal RNA", at positions 656 to 1502 of the family's 1533-position model. Lineage: Bacteria; Pseudomonadati; Pseudomonadota; Gammaproteobacteria; Vibrionales; Vibrionaceae. The record is from RNAcentral.
GGGGGGUAGAAUUUCAGGUGUAGCGGUGAAAUGCGUAGAGAUCUGAAGGAAUACCAGUGGCGAAGGCGGGCCCCCUGGACAGAUACUGACACUCAGAUGCGAAAGCGUGGGGAGCAAACAGGAUUAGAUACCCUGGUAGUCCACGCCGUAAACGAUGUCUACUUGGAGGUUGUGGCCUUGAGCCGUGGCUUUCGGAGCUAACGCGUUAAGUAGACCGCCUGGGGAGUACGGUCGCAAGAUUAAAACUCAAAUGAAUUGACGGGGGCCCGCGCAAGCGGUGGAGCAUGUGGUUUAAUUCGAUGCAACGCGAAGAACCUUACCUACUCUUGACAUCCAGAGAACUUUCCAGAGAUGGAUUGGUGCCUUCGGGAACUCUGAGACAGGUGCUGCAUGGCUGUCGUCAGCUCGUGUUGUGAAAUGUUGGGUUAAGUCCCGCAACGAGCGCAACCCUUAUCCUUGUUUGCCAGCGAGUAAUGUCGGGAACUCCAGGGAGACUGCCGGUGAUAAACCGGAGGAAGGUGGGACGACGUCAAGUCAUCAUGGCCCUUACGAGUAGGGCUACACACGUGCUACAAUGGCGCAUACAGAGGGCGGCCAACUUGCGAAAGUGAGCGAAUCCCAAAAAGUGCGUCGUAGUCCGGAUUGGAGUCUGCAACUCGACUCCAUGAAGUCGGAAUCGCUAGUAAUCGUGGAUCAGAAUGCCACGGUGAAUACGUUCCCGGGCCUUGUACACACCGCCCGUCACACCAUGGGAGUGGGCUGCAAAAGAAGUAGGUAGUUUAACCUUCGGGGGGACGCUUACCACUUUGUGGUUCAUGACUGGGGUGAAGUCGUAACAAGGUACCCG